AAGAAACCUCGCAACAAUCCUCCAGAAUCCCAAAAACCCGAUUAUCAUUGGCAGGAAAGACGCAACAAUCAAUGCUCCUUGAAGAGCCUUCAUUGAUUCUCUAAACCUCUGAUGAGGAUCAAUGUAGAAAUUAAAUCUUCGUGACAAAGCUACCGAGAUAGCCGGAAUGAUGAAGGUAUACGAUCCACCAAUCACCACAGGCAAACGGGUUCCAAACCAAGUUUGUAAUAAAG
This 233-nucleotide unclassified non-coding RNA is filed under the name Hevea brasiliensis (rubber tree). Lineage: Eukaryota; Viridiplantae; Streptophyta; Magnoliopsida; Malpighiales; Euphorbiaceae. The record is from RNAcentral.